This is a long non-coding RNA of Peromyscus californicus insignis, 395 nucleotides long. RefSeq lists it as uncharacterized. The transcript has 2 exons. Lineage: Eukaryota; Metazoa; Chordata; Mammalia; Rodentia; Cricetidae. The record is from RefSeq and is a predicted model, not a curated record.
CAGGUAGCUUGAGGAAGGAGAUGCUCCCCUCACCGGGUCUUCCAUGGUGCUCCUCGGUUCCUCCAUCCCCGUCUCAUCUGACACCGUGAGCACUAAAAAAAAAGACUCUGCAAGGAGACAUUGUGGUGGGUAGCCGGGCCAGCUUUGACCUGGAAGUACCACCCCCAUUGAGGCUUCGGUAACUGUCACACCUACAAGGCAGAGCCGAGAGAGGACCCUGAAGACCUGACAUCUGGAUGGGCCGGCUCCCUUGGUUCCUGGAUCCUGGAUGUUGGAGGUAGACGGAACAGAGUUCUCCAGAGAACAGCGCCGGACUGCACUACACCUUUCCCAGACCCUGUUACCUAUCCCUUCACUUGUAAGUUACCCCACAGAAUAAACCUCCCUUUUAACUA